Molecule: long non-coding RNA, 984 nt
Organism: Onychostruthus taczanowskii (white-rumped snowfinch)
Lineage: Eukaryota; Metazoa; Chordata; Aves; Passeriformes; Passeridae
Exons: 3
Source: RefSeq, a predicted model, not a curated record
CAAAAACAAGGCUUGGACUGACUGACCAAACGGCACCUAAACACCACUUUUCACUUCAGGAUUUGUACAUUUAGUUAAGAAAACACGAGAAAAGACUGGAAAAUUUGGGAUCAUUAUGUUCCAAACUGGUAAAAGAACAUGGGGUGAGGAAAACAACAGCACAGCACCACCUGUCUCAGAGCACUGUGUGCACUGUUGGGGAUAUCACAAGAGUACAGCAUCAAAUAGCAAGGAGCCCCACUGGGAAAGUCUGCAUCCCACAGAAAACACAUCGAUGCAUCUCUCUAAAACACUGAGGAAGAGGAUUACAGACUAAACUUUCUGAUAGGCUGAAGUAUUGAUCUGAUGUUCACUCUGUCUGGUUGGAUCCCUGAGGCAGUAUAAAGCAUUCAUUGCCUGGGCAGCUCUACCGAUGCACAACGAUUAAAUAUAUCAUCCCACAGGGUGGGAGGAUUUCUGCUCCAGAGUACAACAUUCCUGUCCUACUGUGUCCUAGUCCCAUAUGCGGUAUGAUGAGGAAAGAUUUUGUGCAAAUUAAGUUGGAAGGCAAGACAGUGUCUGGAUGUUCUUAAGAGUCUCAGAUAUUGGCUCAAAUCAGGGGCAGAGUUCUAAAAUAAUAGUAUAAUGCUGGUACUGGGAGUUAGCUCAGAGAGGAUUCACAUUUAGAUGAUGUUUUGUGUACUUGUCAUCCUCACUCAUUUAUAAUUUACCUGACUUGAAAUCAGAGAGAAAUUUGCCCAUAUCUGACAGACAAGAAUGCAUCCACUAGAUUAAAUAUUUACAAAGUAAAAUAGCCACUUUUAAGUGAUAAGUUGAUGAGUGUUCACAUUUAUAUGGUUAUGCUUGAUGAAUUUUUAUUGAUCAUUAUUUGCCUAUUUUGAACAGAUCACAAUCAAUAAUGAAAAUAGCAACUUGUAGUCAACUCUUCUGACUGGUCAUAUAACUGUUGCUUGUUUUGUGUUGUCACAACAUGCUUUUCUCCAG